GCAGGCAUUGCAAUUGCCUCUGCCUCUCAAAUAUCUUUUCUCUCCCUGCUUGGUAUCACUUGCAAAAUCUACACAGAGAGAGGAAAAUGGCCUUCGACAAGAUCAAAGUCGCCAACCCCAUCGUUGAGAUGGAUGGAGAUGAAAUGACUCGAGUUUUCUGGAAAUCAAUCAAGGAUAAGCUUAUUUUUCCAUUUCUGGAGUUGGAUAUAAAGUAUUUCGAUCUUGGGCUCCCUCAUCGUGACGCCACUGAUGAUAAAGUUACAGUUGAAAGUGCAGAAGCUACACUUAAGUACAAUGUAGCAAUCAAGUGUGCAACUAUUACUCCAGAUGAAGGUCGCAUGAAGGAGUUCGACUUGAAGCAAAUGUGGAAGAGUCCAAAUGGGACAAUUAGGAAUAUAUUGAAUGGCACCGUUUUCAGAGAACCAAUCAUUUGCAAAAACAUUCCCAGGCUUGUCCCAAGUUGGACAAAGCCAAUAUGCAUUGGAAGGCAUGCUUUUGGUGAUCAGUAUCGAGCAACUGAUACAGUGAUUAAAGGAGCUGGGAAACUCAAAUUGGUGUUUGUACCAGAAGGAAAAGAUGAAAAGACGGAGCUUGAGGUUUUCAACUUUACAGGUGCUGGAGGAGUAGCAUUGUCGAUGUAUAAUACUGAUGAGUCCAUUUAUUCUUUUGCUGAGGCUUCAAUGAACACUGCUUACCUAAAACGGUGGCCCCUUUAUCUUAGCACAAAAAAUACUAUUCUUAAGAAGUAUGAUGGGAGAUUCAAGGACAUAUUCCAAGAAGUUUAUGAGACCCAAUGGAAAUCAAAGUUUGAGGCUGCCGGGAUCUGGUAUGAACACCGUCUCAUUGAUGAUAUGGUUGCUUAUGCUCUCAAGAGUGAAGGAGGUUAUGUGUGGGCAUGCAAGAACUAUGAUGGAGAUGUACAGAGUGAUUUCUUAGCCCAAGGAUUCGGAUCUCUUGGUUUGAUGACAUCUGUGCUGGUUUGUCCAGAUGGAAAGACCAUAGAAGCUGAAGCUGCCCAUGGGACAGUGACACGUCAUUUCCGGGUUCAUCAGAAAGGAGGUGAAACCAGUACAAACAGCAUAGCCUCUAUCUUUGCUUGGUCACGAGGCCUUGCACACAGGGCAAAGUUGGAUGACAAUGCUAGACUCUUGGAUUUCACUCAGAAACUAGAAGCAGCUUGUGUUGGAACUGUGGAAUCUGGAAAGAUGACCAAGGAUCUUGCACUUCUUAUCCAUGGAUCUAAGGUGACGAGGGAUUGGUAUCUGAAUACUGAAGAGUUCAUCGAUGCUGUGGCAGCAGAGCUGAAAGCAAAACUUUCUUGCUAAGCAUAAUUGGUGUCCGAUGCGAGAGUUGUUACCCUUCAAUUGGUCAUAAGAAUAAUAUUAAUUGUAGUGUUUACACCUUGGAGUUCAAGACUGAAUAGGUUUCUCAUGUACUCUGGCCGAUGGCUAAGAAGAAAUAAAGGGGAGAGAGGGACAAAGAGGCGUGGGAAGGAGUUUGUACUUGAAAUUUUACUAUUUCGGACAAUCCUCAUACUUGAAUUUCUCUGAUCUUUCAUUUUGGAUAAAAAUGUUUUUGUGGUACUUUUAUUCGAGUUUUUAUGAAGCCCUCGGAGCCUAGUAGGCAGAAAGCAUCACAGUAAAGAAGGCCCUCCACAAGGGGAGGAAAUUCUCCAUCCCAAACCCCAAGCCUCCCCUCCAAUAUGUUGUUCAACUUAACAUCUGCACUUAAAUUACUUUUCUUAGAUUUCCA
Vitis riparia (riverbank grape) is the source of this 1752-nucleotide RNA transcript. It is a transcript of the gene named isocitrate dehydrogenase [NADP], with no coding region annotated. The record is from RefSeq and is a predicted model, not a curated record. The transcript has 17 exons. NCBI's taxonomy places the organism in Eukaryota, Viridiplantae, Streptophyta, Magnoliopsida, Vitales, Vitaceae.